UUAAGCGACUAAGCGUACACGGUGGAUGCCCUGGCAGUCAGAGGCGAUGAAGGGCGUGCUAAUCUGCGAUAAGCGCCGGUAAGGUGAUAUGAACCGUUAUAACCGGCGAUACCCGAAUGGGGAAACCCAGUGUGAUUCGUCACACUAUCAUUAACUGAAUCCAUAGGUUAAUGAGGCGAACCGGGGGAACUGAAACAUCUAAGUACCCCGAGGAAAAGAAAUCAACCGAGAUUCCCCCAGUAGCGGCGAGCGAACGGGGAGGAGCCCAGAGCCUGAAUCAGCAUGUGUGUUAGUGGAAGCGUCUGGAAAGGCGCGCGAUACAGGGUGACAGCCCCGUACACAAAAGCGCAUGUGCUGUGAGCUCGAUGAGUAGGGCGGGACACGUGGUAUCCUGUCUGAAUAUGGGGGGACCAUCCUCCAAGGCUAAAUACUCCUGACUGACCGAUAGUGAACCAGUACCGUGAGGGAAAGGCGAAAAGAACCCCGGCGAGGGGAGUGAAAAAGAACCUGAAACCGUGUACGUACAAGCAGUGGGAGCACAGGUUUACCUGUGUGACUGCGUACCUUUUGUAUAAUGGGUCAGCGACUUAUAUUCUGUAGCAAGGUUAACCGAAUAGGGGAGCCGGAGGGAAACCGAGUCUUAAUUGGGCGUUAAGUUGCAGGGUAUAGACCCGAAACCCGGUGAUCUAGCCAUGGGCAGGUUGAAGGUUGGGUAACACUAACUGGAGGACCGAACCGACUAAUGUUGAAAAAUUAGCGGAUGACCUGUGGCUGGGGGUGAAAGGCCAAUCAAACCGGGAGAUAGCUGGUUCUCCCCGAAAGCUAUUUAGGUAGCGCCUCGUGAACUCAUCUCCGGGGGUAGAGCACUGUUUCGGCUAGGGGGCCAUCCCGGCUUACCAACCCGAUGCAAACUGCGAAUACCGGAGAAUGUUAUUACGGGAGACACACGGCGGGUGCUAACGUCCGUCGUGAAGAGGGAAACAACCCAGACCGCCAGCUAAGGUCCCAAAGUCAUGGUUAAGUGGGAAACGAUGUGGGAAGGCCCAGACAGCCAGGAUGUUGGCUUAGAAGCAGCCAUCAUUUAAAGAAAGCGUAAUAGCUCACUGGUCGAGUCGGCCUGCGCGGAAGAUGUAACGGGGCUAAACCAUGCACCGAAGCUGCGGCAGCGACGCUUAUGCGUUGUUGGGUAGGGGAGCGUUCUGUAAGCCUGUGAAGGUGGCCUGUGAGGGUUGCUGGAGGUAUCAGAAGUGCGAAUGCUGACAUAAGUAACGAUAAAGCGGGUGAAAAGCCCGCUCGCCGGAAGACCAAGGGUUCCUGUCCAACGUUAAUCGGGGCAGGGUGAGUCGACCCCUAAGGCGAGGCCGAAAGGCGUAGUCGAUGGGAAACGGGUUAAUAUUCCCGUACUUGGUGUUACUGCGAAGGGGGGACGGAGAAGGCUAUGUUGGCCGGGCGACGGUUGUCCCGGUUUAAGCGUGUAGGUGUGUGUUCCAGGUAAAUCCGGUUCACUUUAACACUGAGGCGUGACGACGAGGCACUACGGUGCUGAAGCAACAAAUGCCCUGCUUCCAGGAAAAGCCUCUAAGCAUCAGGUAACAUCAAAUCGUACCCCAAACCGACACAGGUGGUCAGGUAGAGAAUACCAAGGCGCUUGAGAGAACUCGGGUGAAGGAACUAGGCAAAAUGGUGCCGUAACUUCGGGAGAAGGCACGCUGACACGUAGGUGAAGUGAUUUACUCACGGAGCUGAAGUCAGUCGAAGAUACCAGCUGGCUGCAACUGUUUAUUAAAAACACAGCACUGUGCAAACACGAAAGUGGACGUAUACGGUGUGACGCCUGCCCGGUGCCGGAAGGUUAAUUGAUGGGGUCAGCGCAAGCGAAGCUCCUGAUCGAAGCCCCGGUAAACGGCGGCCGUAACUAUAACGGUCCUAAGGUAGCGAAAUUCCUUGUCGGGUAAGUUCCGACCUGCACGAAUGGCGUAAUGAUGGCCAGGCUGUCUCCACCCGAGACUCAGUGAAAUUGAACUCGCUGUGAAGAUGCAGUGUACCCGCGGCAAGACGGAAAGACCCCGUGAACCUUUACUAUAGCUUGACACUGAACAUUGAGCCUUGAUGUGUAGGAUAGGUGGGAGGCUUUGAAGUGUGGACGCCAGUCUGCAUGGAGCCGACCUUGAAAUACCACCCUUUAAUGUUUGAUGUUCUAACGUGGACCCGUAAUCCGGGUUGCGGACAGUGUCUGGUGGGUAGUUUGACUGGGGCGGUCUCCUCCUAAAGAGUAACGGAGGAGCACGAAGGUUGGCUAAUCCUGGUCGGACAUCAGGAGGUUAGUGCAAUGGCAUAAGCCAGCUUGACUGCGAGCGUGACGGCGCGAGCAGGUGCGAAAGCAGGUCAUAGUGAUCCGGUGGUUCUGAAUGGAAGGGCCAUCGCUCAACGGAUAAAAGGUACUCCGGGGAUAACAGGCUGAUACCGCCCAAGAGUUCAUAUCGACGGCGGUGUUUGGCACCUCGAUGUCGGCUCAUCACAUCCUGGGGCUGAAGUAGGUCCCAAGGGUAUGGCUGUUCGCCAUUUAAAGUGGUACGCGAGCUGGGUUUAGAACGUCGUGAGACAGUUCGGUCCCUAUCUGCCGUGGGCGCUGGAGAACUGAGGGGGGCUGCUCCUAGUACGAGAGGACCGGAGUGGACGCAUCACUGGUGUUCGGGUUGUCAUGCCAAUGGCACUGCCCGGUAGCUAAAUGCGGAAGAGAUAAGUGCUGAAAGCAUCUAAGCACGAAACUUGCCCCGAGAUGAGUUCUCCCUGAGACUUAGAGUCUCCUGAAGGAACGUUGAAGACGACGACGUUGAUAGGCCGGGUGUGUAAGCGCAGCGAUGCGUUGAGCUAACCGGUACUAAUGAACCGUGAGGCUUAACCUU
Molecule: ribosomal RNA, 2906 nt
Filed under: Salmonella enterica subsp. enterica serovar Derby
Lineage: Bacteria; Pseudomonadati; Pseudomonadota; Gammaproteobacteria; Enterobacterales; Enterobacteriaceae
Description: bacterial LSU rRNA
Rfam family: Bacterial large subunit ribosomal RNA
Source: RNAcentral